This is a long non-coding RNA of Mytilus californianus (California mussel), 873 nucleotides long. RefSeq lists it as uncharacterized. NCBI's taxonomy places the organism in Eukaryota, Metazoa, Mollusca, Bivalvia, Mytilida, Mytilidae. The record is from RefSeq and is a predicted model, not a curated record. The transcript has 6 exons.
UACCGUCUUUCCCCAAACAACACAGAAUGACUAGCAUUCACAAUUAUAUGUACUUAGGGUGCAAUACCGUCUUUCCCCAAACAACACAGAAUGACUAGCAUUCACAAUUAUAGGUACUUAGGGUGCAAUACCGUCUUUCCCCAAACAACACAUAAUGACUAGCAUUCACAAUUAUAGGUACUUAGGGUGCAAUACCGUCUUUCCCCAAACAACACAGAAUGACUAGCAUUCACAAUUAUAGGUACUUAAGGUGCAAUACCGUCUUUCCCCAAACAAAACAGAAUGACUAGCAUUCACAAUUAUAGGUACUUAGGGUGCAAUACCGUCUUUCCCCAAACAACACAGAAUGACUAGCAUUCACAAUUCUAGGUACUUAGGGUGCAAUACCGUCUUUCCCCAAACAACACAGAAUGACUAGCAUUCACAAUUAUAGAUACUUGGGGUGCAAUACCGUCUUUCCCCAAACAACACAGAAUGACUAGCAUUCACAAUUAUAAGUACUUAGGGUGCAAUACCGUCUUUCCCCAAACAACACAGAAUGACUAGCAUUCACAAUUAUAUGUACUUAGGGUGCAAUACCGUCUUUCCCCAAACAACACAGAAUGACUAGCAUUCACAAUUAUAGGUACUUAGGGUGCAAUACCGUCUUUCCCCCAAACAACACAUAAUGACUAGCAUUCACAAUUAUAGGUACUUAGGGUGCAAUACCGUCUUUCCCCAAACAACACAGAAUGACCAGCAUUCACAAUUAUAGGUACUUAGGGUGCAAUACCGUCUUUCCCCAAACAACACAGAAUGACUAGCAUUCACAAUUAUAGGUACUUAGGGUGCAAUACCGUCUUUCCCCAAACAACACAGAAUGACUAGCAUUCA